CCUACGGGUGGCUGCAGUGGGGAAUAUUGGACAAUGGGCGCAAGCCUGAUCCAGCCAUGCCGCGUGAGUGAAGAAGGCCUUCGGGUUGUAAAGCUCUUUUGUCCGGAAAGAAAAGCAUUCGGUUAAUAACCGGAUGUCAUGACGGUACCGGAAGAAUAAGCACCGGCUAACUUCGUGCCAGCAGCCGCGGUAAUACGAAGGGUGCAAGCGUUACUCGGAAUUACUGGGCGUAAAGCGUGCGUAGGUGGUUCGUUAAGUCUGAUGUGAAAGCCCUG
Molecule: ribosomal RNA, 275 nt
Filed under: uncultured Lysobacter sp.
Lineage: Bacteria; Pseudomonadati; Pseudomonadota; Gammaproteobacteria; Lysobacterales; Lysobacteraceae
Description: partial 16S ribosomal RNA
Rfam family: Bacterial small subunit ribosomal RNA
Source: RNAcentral